RNAcentral lists this transfer RNA (76 nucleotides) under Bacillota bacterium. Its description in RNAcentral is "Firmicutes bacterium (compost metagenome) tRNA-Thr". It matches the Rfam family "tRNA". From Rfam's summary of the family: Transfer RNA (tRNA) molecules are approximately 80 nucleotides in length. Their secondary structure includes four short double-helical elements and three loops (D, anti-codon, and T loops). The record is from RNAcentral. Lineage: Bacteria; Bacillati; Bacillota. RNAcentral also lists the same sequence under 2 other names.
GCUGGCGUAGCUCAGUCGGUAGAGCGGCUCACUCGUAAUGAGCAGGUCAUCGGUUCGAGUCCGAUCGCCAGCUCCA